GUUUUCUAGGGUGAGGGUAAAGCUUGCUGCUGAGAGCCCCGUGUCUCUCGCUCAUGCGUUGCACUACUGCAAGGCCCGAUGACUUUAUACUAAAUGAAAUUUUAGCGUAAAAUAUUUUAUGUUUUUACAAAUAACAUUUUACCUCUGGCGCUAUCCCUACCAGUAGGGAUGGCAAUGGGCACCGCCCGCAGCGGAUUUGCCAUUACCAAACCCAAACCCGCACAAAAUUUAAAUUACCAAACCCACCCGCAACCCGCAGCGGGUUUUAAUUUUUUUUAAAAAACCCACCUGCAGCGGGUUUUAACAAUUACCAAACCCGCAAUGGUAUCCGACGGAUUUUUUGUGGGUUUUCGUAUUUAAAAUCACAUAUGUUUAAUAUAUAAAUUUAUAAUAAUAACCUCAAAUUCCAUAUAACAUACUCAAUUUUAUAUUUAAACUAUGUAAAUGAAAAAUUAAAAUUUCCACAUUAAUUCAACACAAAUUCUCAAAUUUAAAUAUAAAUUACACAAAUCCAUUUAAAAAACACAAACUAGUAUCUAAAAAUAAUAUUUACAUUUCUAUUAUCAUUUAAAACAAGCUCCAAAAGAAGAUAUUCAUUUCAUUCACCACCAUAAGCACCCAUCCAACACAAUACCUAUAAUAAUAAUGAAGAUUAAUAUUUUCAAAUACUAAUUCGAAGGGAAAUGCCUUUAGUUUUCUUUAGAUUAUGACUUUAGAAUAGGAGAUGGGCCACAUACACACAUACACAACUUUGAGCCUUUGGCUAUUUGGUAGUUUAAUUAAUGACCUUAUUUUCUUUAUGCAUUUUUAGAUUAAAAUUAAAUUAAAAAUUUUUGGACAAAAUAUUGCGGGUUUGGUGGAUAUCAAUGCGGGUAUCCACCGGAUAUAAGGUUAAUACCAAACCCACCCGCAUCCAUGUGCGGGUUUUAAUUUAUAAUAUUAAACCCGCCCGCAACGGGUAAAAUUACCCGCAACGGGAUGGUUUUGACCGGUGGGUUUGGGCGGUUUGCGGGUUUGCAGGUACAAUUGCCAUCUCUACCUACCAGAAUCUUUAUCAAAAUUUUAAGAGUAAAUAAAUCAUAUUUUAAGUUCUUACAAAGAUAAUUUACCUCAUAAUUUGUCUAAAAGCUUUUUGAGGGUGUAAAGAAUUGUUAGGAGCUUAAAUAAAGUGUGAUGAAAACAAAUCUUCAACAUUAUUCAUAAAGAUCCUUCCAGCAAAGAGUAUUCAGUUUCCCUCACAUUGUAUGUAAUAUGAUCAUUCUGCUAUAAGAAGAUUGGUUUUCAGACUCAUGUUCACUAC
This 1300-nucleotide long non-coding RNA is filed under the name Citrus sinensis (sweet orange). RNAcentral describes it as "long non-coding RNA (CSIN_LNC000280)". Lineage: Eukaryota; Viridiplantae; Streptophyta; Magnoliopsida; Sapindales; Rutaceae. The record is from RNAcentral.